Molecule: ribosomal RNA, 253 nt
Filed under: uncultured bacterium
Lineage: Bacteria
Description: partial 16S ribosomal RNA
Rfam family: Bacterial small subunit ribosomal RNA
Source: RNAcentral
UACGAAGGGUGCAAGCGUUACUCGGAAUUAUUGGGCGUAAAGCGUGCGUAGGUGGGUAGUUAAGUCUGGCGUGAAAGCCCCGGGCUCAACCUGGGAAUGGCGAUGGAUACUGGCUCGCUAGAGUGCGGUAGAGGAGAGUGGAAUUCCCGGUGUAGCAGUGAAAUGCGUAGAGAUCGGGAGGAACAUCAGUUGCGAAGGCGGCUCUCUGGACCAGCACUGACACUGAGGCACGAAAGCGCGGGGAGCAAACAGG